CCAGCUCCAAUAGCGUAUAUUAAAGUUGUUGCAGUUAAAAAGCUCGUAGUUGAAUUUCUGAUUAUGGGUGUAGAGGUCACACUUUACAUUUAUAGUCAUCCACAUGAGAACCUUUCUCGGCCUUCACUGGUCGGUUGGGGGAUCAUGUACUUUACUUUGAAAAAAUCAGAGUGUUUCAGGCAGGCGUUUGCAUGAAUACACAAGCAUGGAAUAAUGGAAUAGGACUAGGGUCCAUUUUAUUGGUUAUUGGACCAUAGUAAUGAUUAAUAGGGACAGUUGGGGGCAUUAGUAUUUAAUUGUCAGAGGUGAAAUUCUUGGAUUUAUUAAAGACUAACUUAUGCGAAAGCAUUUGCCAAGGAUGUUUUCA
RNAcentral lists this ribosomal RNA (367 nucleotides) under uncultured Prorodon. RNAcentral's name for it is "SSU rRNA". It matches the Rfam family "Eukaryotic small subunit ribosomal RNA", at positions 585 to 972 of the family's 1831-position model. The record is from RNAcentral. Lineage: Eukaryota; Ciliophora; Prostomatea; Prorodontida.